This 253-nucleotide ribosomal RNA is filed under the name uncultured bacterium. RNAcentral's name for it is "partial 16S ribosomal RNA". It matches the Rfam family "Bacterial small subunit ribosomal RNA", at positions 524 to 776 of the family's 1533-position model. The record is from RNAcentral.
UACGUAGGGUGCGAGCGUUAAUCGGAAUUACUGGGCGUAAAGCGUGCGCAGGCGGUUUUGUAAGCCAGAUGUGAAAUCCCCGGGCUUAACCUGGGAAUGGCAUUUGGGACUGCAAGGCUAGAGUGUGGCAGAGGAGACUGGAAUUCCUGGUGUAGCAGUGAAAUGCGUAGAGAUCGGGAGGAACACCAGUGGCGAAGGCGGCUACCUGGACCAGCACUGACACUGAGGCACGAAAGCGUGGGGAGCAAACAGG